GACGAACGCUGGCGGCGUGCUUAACACAUGCAAGUCGAACGGUAAGGCCCUUCGGGGUACACGAGUGGCGAACGGGUGAGUAACACGUGGGUGAUCUGCCCUGCACUUCGGGAUAAGCCUGGGAAACUGGGUCUAAUACCGGAUAGGACCACUGCCUGCAUGGGUGGUGGUGGAAAGCUUUUGCGGUGUGGGAUGGGCCCGCGGCCUAUCAGCUUGUUGGUGGGGUGAUGGCCUACCAAGUCGACGACGGGUAGCCGGCCUGAGAGGGUGACCGGCCACACUGAGACUGAGAUACGGCCCAGACUCCGACGGGAGGCAGCAGUGGGGAAUAUUGCACAAUGGGCGCAAGCCUUAUGCAGCGACGCCGCGUGAGGGAUGACGGCCUUCGGGUUGUAAACCUCUUUCAGCACCGACGAAGCGCAAGUGACGGUAGGUGCAGAAGAAGGACCGGCCAACUACGUGCCAGCCGCCGCCGUAA
RNAcentral lists this ribosomal RNA (478 nucleotides) under uncultured bacterium. Its description in RNAcentral is "partial 16S ribosomal RNA". It matches the Rfam family "Bacterial small subunit ribosomal RNA", at positions 28 to 523 of the family's 1533-position model. The record is from RNAcentral.